This is a long non-coding RNA of Oncorhynchus kisutch (coho salmon), 2215 nucleotides long. RefSeq lists it as uncharacterized. The record is from RefSeq and is a predicted model, not a curated record. NCBI's taxonomy places the organism in Eukaryota, Metazoa, Chordata, Actinopteri, Salmoniformes, Salmonidae. The transcript has 2 exons.
GCAGGUAAGAUAGAGGGGGCUUUGAGAUUUGCUUUGGUUCCGUCCAGCACCUUUUCCCCAUAUUACCGUGUGAAGGAAUCAAUUCCUGGUAAAUCCUUACUCGCACCUACAGUCCAUACCUCUUUCACUUCACUGAGAGUUCAGUUGUAGGAGGGUGUUGUGUUCCCUCUUCAUAGAGGUGUGUGUAACAACGAUAAACAGCUGCCUCUGAGAACCAAUCUAGGCAACCAUAGACAUAAACCCCCUAGACAAUACAAAAACGAAACAAACCACCCUUGUCACACCCUGACCUAAUCAAAAUGAUAAAGAAAGCAAAGAGAACUAAGGUCAGGGCGUGACAGUGACAUUAGCUGUCUGACUUCAUUAGCAAGCCAAUUUUCACACCAUAAACUCAAUUAUUUGAUCAGAUGAGUUGGCUAAUGUUGCUCAACAUUACUUGUUCUGCCACACUUUCUCCCUCACCUCAAACUUUCCAAAUGCCUGUUUUUCAGUUACAGCUCAUGAAGUACACUUCAUCCCCGUGGUCAUCAGGCUUCUCACCUAACAUUACCUCUGUUUUCGUUCAGGGGAUGUGUUGCUGUAACUGCGGUCUUUCCAGAGCACGUGCGGAUGCUGUAACCAGAGUUGCCAGCGCCUCAGUAAGGAAAGUAGCUAUUGGCUGUCCUAAAAGUCGCAAAAUGAUGUCAUCACCGAAAUUCCAUGUGCAUGUAAUUGUGAUGGACGCUGUAGGAGAGGAAUAACGUUGUGGGAAAGACAGUGAAAAAACCACCUAAAUAUGUUUAGAACUACAAAUGAACUCUUCUGUCGAUUCUCUUUUUUUAUGUCACAAUUCUAACCCUCCUUUAUCCGGACUUGGGACUGGCAAAAGUGACCCAAAAGAGACACUCUGGCGGAGGUAUUUAGUUAAUUAUUUAUUUUAGUUUGGUUUUUAACCUUAUGCUCCACUUUGGAGCCUACAACAAGUUACAGUAAAACAUGAACAUUUAUAACCAUACAAUUAUUGUUAUUUUUAUACAUACAAUCUACAUUGCCAUUGCUGGUCCAUUUAGAUUGUUCAUGUGAGAAUUAUGGUAACUAGUCUGGCCCUAAUUCAGGUGAAGUAGUUUUUUUCCAGACCCCCCCCUCCACACACACAGGCUGUACUGGCUCACAGAAAGAGUGGGUCAUCGUCUUUUUGGACAAGGCUCUCUAUGGAAGGUUCAGCAACUGAGGGAGCUGACGUAAAUGAGUAAGCAGCUGAUGAGCCAAAAAGAUGCAAAACAUUAUCAGGCAGCGGGUGCUCAUAGCCUCACCAGACAGCUUCAGUCCAUAUCGAAUGUACAGGAUGGAGUUAAGGGUCUGCAAGGACAUCCGAUUUCUAAGUUUGCUUUUUUUACCACACUAAUCUGGCUGAAUACUCUCUGGACUUCAGCAUUCGAGUGUGGCAAGGACAUCAGACACAGCAGCCAUGGCAAGUCCUUGAAACGGGUUGAUAUCAGCUGCAUCCCUGAACGUCCAAAUCUCACUCCAGAAGCUCUGUUUUGUUUUUUGUCUCAUUCCAUUUACUAAGAUGGAUGGCACGCUAUUGCUGGGGAUUCUUGUCUAUCUCUGCAGGGGAGUAGCAAAGGAGCUUGGCUAUGUUUUCUAUUUCUCCAGGGCUCUUAUUGUGCUUUAGAGUUUCCUCCACAUUGAAAACUGACAUGUACUCUUCGAUGUUGUGUGGCAGUCUCACCCUCAACUCAUUAGUGAGGGAGAUGGUGAAGGCUACAUACCACUUUCUGACAUUGUUUUCAUCCUCAGGCACAAGGUGGAGCUCAGCUGCCUUUGAACUCAUAAAGGUAACCAAGGUACGGUUUGGGACUGAUGUGUCCAUCUAUUGGCUCUUUGAGUACAUCAACAUUUGCCAGUGGAUUCAGCACCCUGCUGGUCACAGACUUGAUCAGGCUGACCAAGCUGUCAAGAAGCUUAAGAGGAUCUACUUGCUCUCACCCAGCACUACUGUACCUCACCCAGCACUACUGUACCUCACUGAUAGACUGUCUGAGCUUGGUGCCGACCUGACUAGAGAUUUGGGAGAGAACUGGGAGUACAUCUCAAGGACAAGGUCACCAUCUCUGUCGGCUGGGUAGUGAGACAGACCGUGUGUGCGCAGCAGGACGUUUGUGUGUGAAGUCAGUAUAAAAUGAAUUGUAUUCUUUACUUUGAACAUUCCGUAAAUAAACAUUUAACUACUUUA